GAUGAAGAACGCAGUGAAAUGCGAUAAGUAAUGUGAAUUGCAGAAUUCAGUGAAUCAUCGAAUCUUUGAACGCACAUUGCGCCCACUAGUAUUCUGGUGGGCAUGCCUGUUCGAGCGUCAUUUCAACCCUCAAGCCUGGCUUGGUGUUGGGGCCCUGCGCCUGCAGGCCCUUAAAUCCAGUGGCGGACACGCUAGGUCUCCGAGCGCAGUAGUUUCUUCUCGCUUCGGGCGUCCGGCGUGGGCUUGCCUUGCACCAUUUUUCUAAGGUUGACCUCGGAUCAGGUAGGAAUACCCGCUGAACUUAAGCAUAUCAAUAAGCGGAGGA
This 325-nucleotide unclassified non-coding RNA is filed under the name soil metagenome. RNAcentral's name for it is "partial contains 5.8S ribosomal RNA, internal transcribed spacer 2, and large subunit ribosomal RNA". The stretch from base 1 to 120 matches the Rfam family "5.8S ribosomal RNA", at positions 35 to 154 of the family's 154-position model. The record is from RNAcentral.